This 468-nucleotide ribosomal RNA is filed under the name uncultured bacterium. Its description in RNAcentral is "partial 16S ribosomal RNA". It matches the Rfam family "Bacterial small subunit ribosomal RNA", at positions 28 to 507 of the family's 1533-position model. The record is from RNAcentral.
GAUGAACGCUGGCGGCGUGCUUAACACAUGCAAGUCGAACGGUGAAGGCGGAGCUUGCUCUGCUGGAUCAGUGGCGAACGGGUGAGUAACACGUGAGCAAUCUGCCCCUGACUCUGGGAUAAGCGCUGGAAACGGCGUCUAAUACUGGAUACGAGCUGCGAAGGCAUCUUCAGCAGCUGGAAAGAACUUCGGUCAGGGAUGAGCUCGCGGCCUAUCAGCUUGUUGGUGAGGUAACGGCUCACCAAGGCGUCGACGGGUAGCCGGCCUGAGAGGGUGACCGGGCACACUGGGACUGCGACACGGCCCAGACUCCUACGGGAGGCAGCAGUGGGGAAUAUUGCACAAUGGGCGCAAGCCUGAUGCAGCAACGCCGCGUGAGGGACGACGGCCUUCGGGUUGUAAACCUCUUUUAGCAGGGAAGAAGCGAAAGUGACGGUACCUGCAGAAAAAGCGCCGGCUAACUACGUG